UUCGGGCGCCGGCGAGUGGCGAACGGGUGAGUAACACGUGGAGACCUAUCCAUUGGUGGGGGACAACAGCUGGAAACGGCUGCUAAUACCGCAUAAUCCCUACGGGGGAAAGAUUUAUCGCCAUAGGAGGGUUCCGCGUCGGAUUAGCUAGUUGGUGGGGUAACGGCCUACCAAGGCGACGAUCCGUAGCUGGUCUUAGAGGAUGAUCAGCCACACUGGGACUGAGACACGGCCCAGACUCCUACGGGAGGCAGCAGUGGGGAAUAUUGCGCAAUGGAGGAAACUCUGACGCAGCGAUGCCGCGUGGGUGAAGAAGGCCUUAGGGUUGUAAAGCCCUUUCAGUGGGAACGAUGGUGACGGUACCCACAGAAGAAGCCCCGGCUAACUCCGUGCCUGCAGCCGCGGUAAUACGGAGGGGGCGAGCGUUGUUCGGAAUUAUUGGGCGUAAAGCGCGCGUAGGCGGUUUAUUAAG
This 472-nucleotide ribosomal RNA is filed under the name uncultured Magnetococcus sp. Its description in RNAcentral is "bacterial SSU rRNA". It matches the Rfam family "Bacterial small subunit ribosomal RNA", at positions 79 to 587 of the family's 1533-position model. Lineage: Bacteria; Pseudomonadati; Pseudomonadota; Magnetococcia; Magnetococcales; Magnetococcaceae. The record is from RNAcentral.